UUUCAGUCUUUCCCCUAAUUCUUGCUCUAUCAGAGGUCGAGGACAACAGUAUAAUGAUUCAUAGGUUCUACUUCCUGGCAAGUAAUCAUUUUCCCACGGGCCCUUGUGAAUUGAUGAAUAUGAAGACACUAAGAAAGCAGAAAUAGAACUGAGAAGAAUGAAAUAACUGUCUCUACCUUUCUCGAAUUGUCUAAUAUGGAAAGAAUGAAAGACAGCUAAUAAGCAACUCUCUGCAAGAAGACAUAUGGCUUAGGUUCUGCUGAGCUAUUGGUGAUUUGAUUCCAUGCAUAUGUAUUCACUACUGGUAUAAGUAUAUACAAUAUAUGUGUUUCUGCAAAGAAUCGUAGACUUGAUGCAUUUUUUAAUAUUUCUUAAGGACUUACUACUGAGUGUCAGUAUGAGAGGAUCGUUUACUUCCUUUUCCCAUUAAUUUUGAUAGCCUGGAUUGAGCAACUUUCUUACCUAGUUUUGUUUUAUGAGGUGCAUUAG
This 489-nucleotide long non-coding RNA is filed under the name Homo sapiens (human). Its description in RNAcentral is "non-protein coding LINC02541:60". The record is from RNAcentral. Lineage: Eukaryota; Metazoa; Chordata; Mammalia; Primates; Hominidae.